Molecule: ribosomal RNA, 488 nt
Filed under: uncultured Sphingobacteriales bacterium
Lineage: Bacteria; Pseudomonadati; Bacteroidota; Sphingobacteriia; Sphingobacteriales
Description: bacterial SSU rRNA
Rfam family: Bacterial small subunit ribosomal RNA
Source: RNAcentral
GCUCAGAAACUCAAAUGAAUUGACGGGGCCGGCACAAGCGAGGAGCAUGUGGUUAAUUCGAUGAUACGCGAGGAACCUUACCUGGGCUCGAACGUAAGAUGACUGUAGGUGAAAGCUUACAUCUCUUCGGAGCAUUUUACGAGGUGCUGCAUGGUUGUCGUCAGCUCGUGCCGUGAGGUGUCGGGUUAAGUCCCAUAACGAGCGCAACCCCUACCUUUAGUUGCCAUCAGGUUAAGCUGGGGACUCUAAAGGAACUGCCUACGCAAGUAGUGAGGAAGGCGGGGAUGACGUCAAAUCAGCACGGCCCUUACGUCCAGGGCUACACACGUGCUACAAUGGCCGAUACAGAGGGCAGCUACCUGGUGACAGGAUGCAAAUCUCCAAAGUCGGUCUCAGUUCGGAUCGGAGUCUGCAACCCGACUCCGUGAAGUUGGAUUCGCUAGUAAUCGCGCAUCAGCCAUGGCGCGGUGAAUACGUUCCCGGGCCUU